GUAUCACUUUGGCAGCACAUAUACUAAAAUUGGAACAAUACAGAGAAGAUCAGCAUGACUUCUUACAUCGAUGACACACAAUUUUGUGACAUGUUCCAUAUUUUU
RNAcentral lists this small nuclear RNA (105 nucleotides) under Zalophus californianus (California sea lion). The record is from RNAcentral. Lineage: Eukaryota; Metazoa; Chordata; Mammalia; Carnivora; Otariidae.